AUUAAGUAAAUGGCUGGUGGGCUCCCGUAAAUCAUAACAUUUCUAAAUGUGCUGGAGAGUCUCUCUGCCAAGCUGCUGACGAAUACAGUGUCUGUUCCUAUUGACUUCUCUUCCCCCUUCAGAUUACUUUUGCUUUGAAUCAUUUCAAAUCAUAAAGCCAAAAAAAUCAUGUAAUGAGACUAGCUGAUGCAGUGAUUAAUGAAAGUGCAAUGAGAGCUACCAUACAGCCAUUACAAACCAGUUAGCUAAUUAGUGUAAUCACAGAGGUGGAAAUAAUUAAAAGACCACAAAGCAGUGGUAGCCUAAUAACAGCCUUUUCCUCUGACCCAGAGCUGGAGAGAAAAGGAUGCUUUGGUUUGCUGGGUCGGGGCCAGAAAGGAGCCGAGAGCGAAGGGUCUGGAAGCAACCACAGUGUGUGAGGUGUCGGGGCUGGUUCAGACAAGGAUAAAUGGAACAGCUUUUAGACCCAUGUAACCCAGAUUGCAUCCGAGUCCUCUGGCAAUGGCAUUUCACGUUACAGCAGCCCUCUCCCAGCUCUUUCCAUUGCCAGGCUGUUUCCUCACCAAGCCCCGAGCAUCUCCUCCCCGACACCUGCUGCGCUGCAAAGAAAAGAAGCGUGGUGGCAAACUGGAGAUGGUAUUUGUGCUGAGGCAGGAUCCGACCUUCUCUCUUCCUUUCUUACUUUUUUGUCCAUUUUUGUUUUUUUCCACAGGUCAUUGACAAAGGCAGUAUUAAAGUUUUAUUUACCUUGCAGCCAAACUUGGUUUCGGGAGAGGGAGAAACCAGCAUCCUAGGGGAAAAGUCUGGGCCAAGGGUGUGGUGCUGGGGUGCGUGGUGCUCACCACCAGAGCCGCUGCUGCAAGCGGGGCACCGAGCAGGUCUGUUGUCCUCCCCUCCGUGCCCUGCCUGGCACAGACAGCCCUGACACUGGGCAGUACCAGCAUGAUGGUGAACCCAAAACAACCCCGAAAUGCCUGCUCAGAUGCUUCUCCAAGGGGUCGCCCAGCCAGGACUGCUAAUGAGAGACAUGGGACGGCGUGCGGAGCUGGAUUUCACCCUGGUAAUUAGAAGUGACCUACCUCUUGCUGCUAGAUGAAACAGCUCCAUUUGACGGGCUAUAAAAAAUCCUAACUGGUAAUUUUCCAGUUGGGCUGGGUCAUCGUUGUGGCCAUCACUAUCGGCUCUUAUCAUUUCUGCCAUGGUUUUUUGUGUGCUUCAUUUGACCCGGGUAUAAUGAGCAAAGGAGAAGAAAGUAGCUGCAGACACACAAUCAACGAUCAUCUGCUGAAGCUGAUGAAUAUGCCAAGACUGCUAAGUGGGUCUUCAUUAGCUAUUCACAUGCUAAGAGCCGUCUUUAUUUGUUCUUCUCUUCUAGGUGAAUCUAUAUUUGAAUAUCUUUACUAUAUCUACCCGGGGGGUGGGUGGAGGAUUACCACCACUGUCAGGUAACAUGAGUAUUUUCCUGAAAAAAAAAAUAGAUCGUGACACCAAGCUGGCAGCAGGCUAAAAAGAAGAAACAAUGUGAUGCCAUUUAGAGGGGGAAGAAAUAAUUCUCCCCGAUGACACCUCUAGUGGGAGGCAGAACUUUAUCUUCUCCUCGCAGCUCAAAUGAAGCAUCACAGCAGUAGCACUAAGUUUGCUUCCAUGUUUCCAACGUGUCUUUUCAUUGACUAUAGGCUGUAGCUGUGCAAACACAUUUCCAGGGUAAGAGCAGGGGCUGUCCUGCUCGGAGGGUUUGUAGGGCCAUUGGUGACAAUGCAAGGCCAGGGCAUCCCACCCAGCUGUGACUCGUGCAGCCCUGUGUGCACGCUGGUGAGCCCUGUUUGAACUUUCUCCCUUCAGCUUUCUGUAAAAGCUGCAGUUCUCUGUGUGCUGGGACAGGGGCUGGCUCUUUGCAGGAUGCUUCUCCCCUCCCAGGAGCAUCCAUCGGCGGGGAAGGCUGCCCUCUCCCGACACGAGGAGCGAGGCGGCGGCUGAGCUGCACCCAGCACCCUCGGCCAGCACCCACCCUGCUCCCAUCCGCACCCUGUGGGGCACAGAGAUGUCCCAGCUCAGUGAGCCCAACACAACCCCCUGUGUCCCCAAGGUGCCCUGGCCCCACCACCAGCUCCAGGGUCCGACCCAUGUCCCCCCACCAGCAUCACAUGGGUGCUGCUUGGGAAACCACCCGGCUCGCUGCAUCUCUUCUGCACAGGAUUGCCUUCUCACCUGCCCCAUUCCUGCCCACCCAGGUGUGCCCAGCACCUUUUUUAAAUAAGAAAUAAAAAAUAAAAUCUGACAGUGUGUGAGUGAGCAACAUACUCAUCUGUGUGAGCUGUUUCCAGCUGAGUCUGUACGUGCUGGAGGCAGGGGGGUGACACAGGAGCAAAGUCACAUUU
Molecule: long non-coding RNA, 2378 nt
Organism: Oxyura jamaicensis (ruddy duck)
Lineage: Eukaryota; Metazoa; Chordata; Aves; Anseriformes; Anatidae
Exons: 2
Source: RefSeq, a predicted model, not a curated record